AUUGAACGCUGGCGGAAUGCUUUACACAUGCAAGUCGAACGGCAGCACGGGGGCAGCCCUGGUGGCGAGUGGCGAACGGGUGAGUAAUACAUCGGAACGUGCCCGGUCGUGGGGGAUAACGUAGCGAAAGUUCCGCUAAUACUGCAUACGAUCUGAGGAUGAAAGCGGGGGACCUUCGGGCCUCGCGCGAUCGGGGCGGCCGAUGGCCGAUUAGGUAGUUGGUGGGGUAAAGGCCUACCAAGCCGGCGAUCUGUAGCUGGUCUGAGAGGACGACCAGCCACACUGGGACGGAGACACGGCCCAGACGCCUACGGGUGGCAGCAGUGGGGAAUUUUGGACAAUGGGCGCGAGCCUGUGCCAGCCAGGCCGCGUGCAGGACGAAGGCCUUCGGGUUGUAAACUGCUUUUGUACGGAACGAAAAGGCUCUGGCUAAUACCUGGGGCUCAUGACGGUACCGUAAGAAUAAGCACCGGCUAACUACGUG
RNAcentral lists this ribosomal RNA (484 nucleotides) under uncultured bacterium. RNAcentral's name for it is "partial 16S ribosomal RNA". It matches the Rfam family "Bacterial small subunit ribosomal RNA", at positions 28 to 507 of the family's 1533-position model. The record is from RNAcentral.